GGGUCAAAGAGCCCCUGGCAUGAAGCACCAAAGGUGUGAUUCUUGCCUCCAUUAGUUAAGUCUUUUGCUUUAAGGUAAUAGUGUUAGGUGUGUUCCUCCCAUUUUCCCUUAGGGAACCAUAAAUACCGCUUUCAAUUCUUUUUAGCUUACUCUUAAUCGAAGAAGAAAGAAAACUAACUUCACUGGAAAGAAGGCUGAAUGAAUGUAUUCUAUAAAUAUCUUCAUAAGACUCUACUUAGGGGGUAUCCAAAGACUUAUGAGGCAGUCUCAGGCAUAAGAUCCAUGGAGGGAUGCUUUGGAUUGGCCUCAUCAACACAGACUCACUCCUUGAGAAAACUGAUAUUGUCCUUCACCAUGGGCAGGGGCCAAGUGGAACCACAGCACACAAGAUGCUCAAAGGGGAGGAAAAACUUUACAGGAGGAGAGAUAUGACUUUCUGGAAGAAAUGUGGUCUCAGCUUGGCUACCAUCUACAGAGACUUUUCCCUCCAUGGUUCCCUGAACACCUAGGAACUGGCUGCAAGAGUUUCUCCAUGGAGGGCUCCUGAAGUUGGAAAUCUUAUUCAUUCUCUCUCUCUCUCUCUCUCUCUCAUUGAUCAAAGGAGUGGGUUAACCCCACCCACCCCAGGAUGUGGUGGCAGACACAUCUGUUCAGUCUGGCUUACUGCCAACAGGGGAUUUACUUUCUGGAGUGGAGGGGAGAGGAACUUUUAUGUAAGGAGGGGAUUUAUUGUUGGCUGACGGGGUGUGGCGAGGGUGAAGGGUGGGAACCACUUCAGUUUUGUGGCCGGAUUGUCUGCCUUUUUUUGUACUGCACAGUUUAAUCUUUGUAUGUGGUUUUCAGGACUUUUGUGAGGGGGGCAAGUGCUGAGUCAGUGAACUUUAACGAUGAACCCAAACACUUUUUGAGAAUAAACUAUAGACCCCAAGGAGCA
RNAcentral lists this long non-coding RNA (934 nucleotides) under Vombatus ursinus (common wombat). RNAcentral's name for it is "lncRNA (ENSVURG00010004894.1)". Lineage: Eukaryota; Metazoa; Chordata; Mammalia; Diprotodontia; Vombatidae. The record is from RNAcentral.